CUCCAAGACAAGCUAUCAGCCUGCCUGUUUUCUCUUUUCUCUCUGCUCUCCCCAGAAGUUCACCCCAACACAGUUAGGAGACAAGAGAAUGGCCAUUCAGGUUACUGCUCUGGUGUUUUGUUUCAAAAGCCAUCAAAACACUUCCAGAGGAAGAACUGGAGUUAGGAAUGUCUAAGGUUCCAUGCAAACAGUCUUUUGCCUUUGCAUUUUGCAUGUCUUUCAUUAUCUCAAUCUGUUCUUGUUCUAAGUGUCAGGAAGAAGUGAAGAAGAGUGCCAUCAUAUUUCAUGUAGUUUGCACAUAUUUGUCGCAACAUCAGUGGGGACAUAAAGGAGUGAAGCUUGAAACCAAGCAUCCAUCCAUCUGUGGAGGUCUUAGUACCACUGAGGUCAGAAGCAGUGGACUUGCUAACGUGGGUGUAAGUCAUACAGUCAAAGCAUGGAUGGGAAUCUAAUGAUCUCGCCCACACAAGAGGAGAACUGUUCCCUUGAAAGGAUCGACAGUAGCCGGGCUGUUUUAAAAUACCAUAAUAAAUGGUAUUCUCUACUAGUGGGACACGAUGCUCAGUGUUACGACCUGUUUCCAGACAAUGGUUUAAUUAAACAUUUAAUGGAUGCAUCUCAUUUCUUUGCACGAGCUCCACUCUAAACAACCGAGCUAAUAAUGUAAGCACCACAGUUUGAUGAUUAAAAUGAGAGUUUUCAUGAACACUGCCCCCCUGACAAACAAAAGGGCUGAUACCGUGCAGAGGAAGCUGGGUCCCUGUGAGCCCACAGCGCAGUGACCCACAUUUAGCAUGAAACCAGAUUUAUGGCUGACCAUCAGCAUUUUAA
RNAcentral lists this long non-coding RNA (831 nucleotides) under Gallus gallus (chicken). RNAcentral's name for it is "lncRNA (ENSGALG00010019929.1)". Lineage: Eukaryota; Metazoa; Chordata; Aves; Galliformes; Phasianidae. The record is from RNAcentral.